This 856-nucleotide long non-coding RNA is filed under the name Anser brachyrhynchus (Pink-footed goose). Its description in RNAcentral is "lncRNA (ENSABRG00000014925.1)". Lineage: Eukaryota; Metazoa; Chordata; Aves; Anseriformes; Anatidae. The record is from RNAcentral.
CCCAUUUGUGUCACAUCAUAACGUCAUACCCAGCAAGUGAUGCCCUCCUGCCAUGUCCCUGGUAUGAGGGCCUCCUGUGAACAGAGGAGCCACAAGGCUUCAGGCAGCCCCUUCCUGAGGGGAAGGCUGGAGGCACGAGGACGGGGGCGCUGCUAGGCCUUGCUGCAGAGCUCCGGGCAAAUGCCUCCUCUCAGAAGUCUGUCAGAAAAGCUGGUCUUGGGCACUGGCUGAUGCUGUGCUCACUCCCGGGGGCAGCCAGGAGGGACCUGUCUUCAGCUGGAGCCAUGCCCCUCCUGGGGUGAAACGCAAGUGUGGAGGGGCUGAAUUUAAUGUGUAUUGAUCACAGGGAAGGAGAAAAAUUGUAAAGGAGGAUGUCACUGGUACAAGACAACAUUUGGGCACCUGCUGUUCUCCUGUUUGGUCUGUACCAGCCUGAUUCCAUCUCUACCAGUCUCUUCCUCUUCUUGCCAACCAUGCGGAUCUUUGCAGAGGCUGGGUGAGAAGUGAGGCCGGUGAUGCUUUUGUACACUGGGUACAUCCCCAGGGAUGCAGUUUUCCAAUAUAUUCAUCUGUCACCAGAGCUCCACGUGAAGUCCUCUGCUGUUCCUUCAUCUGACCGGCAGUGCGACAGAAAGGCCUGGAGCUGGUCGGGGCCAACCCCAGGCCUGAGUGCUGGGCGCGUGAGCUAUCCCUGCAAGGCUGGCAGAUUGUCGAUAAAUGCAGUAAACAACAGGCUGCUUUCUUUCAGAACAAGUUAUAUGAAGUCGUCAUCCAUUUGGCGAUACAUAUUUGUAUCUAAGCCCAUCCUUUCAAGCUCCUCUCACUUGACUGAUCAUUUCUUGGUAUCCCAGGAGAA